UACAGAGGUCCCAAGCGUUGUUCGGAUUCACUGGGCGUAGAGGGUGCGUAGGUGGCGGGGUAAGUUUGAUGUGAAAUCUCCGAGCUCAACUCGGAAACGGCAUUGAAUACUAUUUCGCUUGAGGGUCGGAAGGGAGACUGGAAUUCUCGGUGUAGCAGUGAAAUGCGUAGAUAUCGAGAGGAACACCAGUGGCGAAGGCGAGUCUCUGGACGACACCUGACACUGAGGCACGAAAGCUAGGGGAGCAAACAGG
This 253-nucleotide ribosomal RNA is filed under the name uncultured bacterium. Its description in RNAcentral is "partial 16S ribosomal RNA". It matches the Rfam family "Bacterial small subunit ribosomal RNA", at positions 524 to 776 of the family's 1533-position model. The record is from RNAcentral.